AGACGAGGAGCUUGCUCCUCUGACGUUAGCGGCGGACGGGUGAGUAACACGUGGAUAACCUACCUAUAAGACUGGGAUAACUUCGGGAAACCGGAGCUAAUACCGGAUAAUAUAUUGAACCGCAUGGUUCAAUAGUGAAAGACGGUUUUGCUGUCACUUAUAGAUGGAUCCGCGCCGCAUUAGCUAGUUGGUAAGGUAACGGCUUACCAAGGCAACGAUGCGUAGCCGACCUGAGAGGGUGAUCGGCCACACUGGAACUGAGACACGGUCCAGACUCCUACGGGAGGCAGCAGUAGGGAAUCUUCCGCAAUGGGCGAAAGCCUGACGGAGCAACGCCGCGUGAGUGAUGAAGGUCUUCGGAUCGUAAAACUCUGUUAUUAGGGAAGAACAAAUGUGUAAGUAACUAUGCACGUCUUGACGGUACCUAA
This 428-nucleotide ribosomal RNA is filed under the name Bacillus anthracis (anthrax bacterium). Its description in RNAcentral is "bacterial SSU rRNA". It matches the Rfam family "Bacterial small subunit ribosomal RNA", at positions 69 to 482 of the family's 1533-position model. Lineage: Bacteria; Bacillati; Bacillota; Bacilli; Caryophanales; Bacillaceae. The record is from RNAcentral.